AAUCAACGCUGGCGGCGUGCCUAACACAUGCAAGUCGAACGAGAAAGUGGGGGCAACUCCAUGAGUAAAGUGGCAGACGGGUGAGUAACACGUGAACAACCUACCCUCGAGUGUGGAAUAACACCGCGAAAGCGGUGCUAAUACCGCAUAACAUCUUCGGGUCGCAUGAUCUGAAGAUCAAAAGCGCAAGUUGCUUGAGGAGGGGUUCGCGCCUGAUUAGCUAGUUGGUGAGGUAACGGCCCACCAAGGCAACGAUCAGUAGCCGGCCUGAGAGGGCGAACGGCCACACUGGAACUGAGACACGGUCCAGACUCCUACGGGAGGCAGCAGUGGGGAAUUUUGCGCAAUGGGCGAAAGCCUGACGCAGCAACGCCGCGUGGAGGAUGAAGGUCUUCGGAUCGUAAACUCCUGUCAGUGGGACGAAUGCUUCGCAAGAAGUUUGACUGUACCCGCUGAGGAAGCCACGGCUAACUCCGUGCCAGCAGCCGC
This 489-nucleotide ribosomal RNA is filed under the name uncultured bacterium. RNAcentral's name for it is "bacterial SSU rRNA". It matches the Rfam family "Bacterial small subunit ribosomal RNA", at positions 32 to 518 of the family's 1533-position model. The record is from RNAcentral.